AGCUGUUAGUCUCCGAGAUAGAUGCGGUGCAAAAGUAACACAUCAGAGGAUCCAAACUCUUCUUUUUUUUCUAACCCAUUUUGUAACGUUACAGGCUCUCUUGCUAAAUAGGGCCAGUGAACCCAAACUCCUGUCUAAACCAAUUUCAUGAGGCUUAUAUGGCCCCUCCAAUCGCAUUGUUAAGAAUUGUCCAUUACCUUUGCAGUGACAUGAGCAUGACCUGAUUAGUAAACAUUCAAUUGCAAGGAAGCACAACUAUGAAACCUUUUGGCCCAAACAAAAUACCAAGUAAAAUAGGCGGCCUCUCAAACCUUGGCUAUCCAUCAAUCCAACAUCACAGUUUGGUCUAAUAGGCCCAAAUGGGCUUGAUAAUUAAAAACACUGACAAAGCAGCGCAACAAAAACCCCAACAAAAUUAGCUGAAAUGAGUGCACGAGUGUUUCCCACCUACCAAAAGAAAACACAAUCCUUCACCACCUUUUUUUAUCCAGAUCCCUUCCUCUGCCCCAGUCCCGUCGGAAAAACGAGCUUGACGGGCGAUUGGAUUUCUGCAACAAUGAGUAAAAAUCAAUAAACACAAAUUUUAGGAUUGCUGGCGAAUUCUAGCAAGGGACCAGUGCUGAUCAUCAAGAUGGGAAGUGCGCGGAUGAUGAUUUUCUAACAGAUGUAUGAAACCGGUAAAAUUUUGAAUUUGUGAGGAUGAAGUUGAAAUGGGUAAAGUAUGGGAAGAGCUUGUUCCAAGGAGAGAUCCAACUUUUGAAGGAGAGUGGUGUCAACUAACAUUUUGCAAGGAGACUAUAGAAGAGUAUAGGAGUAGCAGUGAUACAGAAUCAAGCAGGCAAAGAAAGGAGCAUCAAGAAGCUCUUAAACCAGCUUAGUAUUUCUGAGUUAAUAAUUCCUGUCUAUUACAAGAAUAUAUUGUGGAUAAUGGGACAUUAUUGUAAAAUUUUGAGACCUUAUCCAUCAUGAGUUCAUAUUUAGUGUUGCAUGGACAUGGUUGCAGCCAAGGUUCGCUGUACCGGUCGGUACCGGUCCGGUACCGAGCGUACCGUACCCGUACCGAUGGGUACCGGU
Non-coding RNA from Phoenix dactylifera (date palm), 1074 nucleotides. Lineage: Eukaryota; Viridiplantae; Streptophyta; Magnoliopsida; Arecales; Arecaceae. The record is from RefSeq and is a predicted model, not a curated record.